CCUACGGGGGGCUGCAGUGGGGAAUAUUGGACAAUGGGGGGAACCCUGAUCCAGCCAUGCCGCGUGUGUGAAGAAGGCCCUCGGGUUGUAAAGCACUUUCAGUGAGGAAGAACGCCUGGUGGUUAAUACCCAUCAGGAAAGACAUCACUCACAGAAGAAGCACCGGCUAACUCCGUGCCAGCAGCCGCGGUAAUACGGAGGGUGCGAGCGUUAAUCGGAAUUACUGGGCGUAAAGCGCGCGUAGGUGGCUUGAUAAGCCGGUUGUGAAAGCCCCGGGCUCAACCUGGGAACAGCAUCCGGAACUGUCAAGCUAGAGUGCAGGAGAGGAAGGUAGAAUUCCCGGUGUAGCGGUGAAAUGCGUAGAGAUCGGGAGGAAUAUCAGUGGCGAAGGCGGCCUUCUGGACUGACACUGACACUGAGGUGCGAAAGCGUGGGUAGCAAACAGGAUUAGAUACCCGUGUAGUC
Molecule: ribosomal RNA, 465 nt
Filed under: Vreelandella stevensii
Lineage: Bacteria; Pseudomonadati; Pseudomonadota; Gammaproteobacteria; Oceanospirillales; Halomonadaceae
Description: partial 16S ribosomal RNA
Rfam family: Bacterial small subunit ribosomal RNA
Source: RNAcentral